GUGGGGAAUAUUGGACAAUGGGGGGAACCCUGAUCCAGCCAUGCCGCGUGUGUGAAGAAGGCCUUUUGGUUGUAAAGCACUUUAAGCGAGGAGGAGGCUACCGAGAUUAAUACUCUUGGAUAGUGGGCGUUACUCGCAGAAUAAGCACCGGCUAACUCUGUGCCAGCAGCCGCGGUAAUACAGAGGGUGCAAGCGUUAAUCGGAUUUACUGGGCGUAAAGCGCGCGUAGGUGGCCAAUUAAGUCAAAUGUGAAAUCCCCGAGCUUAACUUGGGAAUUGCAUUCGAUACUGGUUGGCUAGAGUAUGGGAGAGGAUGGUAGAAUUCCAGGUGUAGCGGUGAAAUGCGUAGAGAUCUGGAGGAAUACCGAUGGCGAAGGCAGCCAUCUGGCCUAAUACUGACACUGAGGUGCGAAAGCAUGGGGAGCAAACAGGAUUAGAAACCCUGGUAGUCC
Molecule: ribosomal RNA, 451 nt
Filed under: uncultured bacterium
Lineage: Bacteria
Description: partial 16S ribosomal RNA
Rfam family: Bacterial small subunit ribosomal RNA
Source: RNAcentral